ACGAACCUGCGAAGGCAAGCGGAUCUCUUAAAGCCGUUCUCAGUUCGGACUGUAGGCUGCAACUCGCCUACACGAAGCUGGAAUCGCUAGUAAUCGCGGAUCAGCACGCCGCGGUGAAUACGUUCCCGGGCCUUGUACACACCGCCCGUCACACCAUGAGAGUCUGUAACACCCAAAGCCGGUGGGAUAACCUUUAUAGGAGUCAGCCGUCUAAGGCAGGACAGAUGAUUAGGGUGAAGUCGUAACAAGGUAAC
RNAcentral lists this ribosomal RNA (254 nucleotides) under uncultured bacterium. RNAcentral's name for it is "partial 16S ribosomal RNA". It matches the Rfam family "Bacterial small subunit ribosomal RNA", at positions 1249 to 1500 of the family's 1533-position model. The record is from RNAcentral.